RNAcentral lists this ribosomal RNA (253 nucleotides) under uncultured bacterium. Its description in RNAcentral is "partial 16S ribosomal RNA". It matches the Rfam family "Bacterial small subunit ribosomal RNA", at positions 524 to 776 of the family's 1533-position model. The record is from RNAcentral.
UACGGAGGAUGCAAGCGUUAUCCGGAAUGAUUGGGCGUAAAGCGUCCGCAGGUGGCAAUGUAAGUCUGCUGUUAAAGAGUGAGGCUCAACCUCAUAAGAGCAGUGGAAACUACAUAGCUAGAGUACGUUCGGGGCAGAGGGAAUUCCUGGUGUAGCGGUGAGAUGCGUAGAGAUCAGGAAGAACACCGGUGGCGAAAGCGCUCUGCUAGGCCGCAACUGACACUGAGGGACGAAAGCUAGGGGAGCGAAUGGG